GUAUUUGUCUUUCCGGAGGCAGGGUGGGACAGACACAGGUGUGCGGCUUUGGAGCCGACCACUGUUAAACAUACCUGGGUUUCAACCCCAGGUCUGUCCCAUUAGCUGGGAGUGAGCAUAUGACUUAGCCUUCCUGGGCAUCAGUUUCUCUUAUCGGAAAAAUGGGUAUGAUCAACUCACUGCUCCGGGCUGGGACAAGAGCCUCCUGAUUCUGGCCUGGAAAAGUCAUAAUUUGGGGACCGACAACCUGGCUUCUCGCCUACCAUCUGACUGGGAUCCAGUCUCUUCACGUCAGCAUCUUGCCACUUUCACUCUCUGGGGUCAUCUGGGAACCUCAGCGAAUGGAAGGAACCUCCACAUCACUAACUGAGUUCCUACUGUGUGCCUGACACCCUGCCAAUCACAUCACAGCAUCAGGAGUGGAAAUCACAAUGGAGACAAAAUAAACAAAUCGCAGGGGACAGAGAGUGUCCUGGUGCAGACGCUUUCUAGAGAUGAUGCUUUCAGUGCGCGCUUCCCAGCAGCUCUGUGAAGCCCUUGCCUCGUGGAGGAUGGAUGAAGCCUGCCUUCCACUUCAUGCUUUGCCCAGCAUUGACUCUCAGGCUUGGUUUUGACAGUCAGGACUCCUCCCACCGCCCUUUGCUGCAGCAUCCCAGCCAGCAUGCAGAUUCCCAGGGAUCUUUGUCGGUGGUGAUCUCUCUGCCAACGGUGCCUUCUCUUCCUUUCACCCUUCCCAUCCUAUCUCUGCCCCAUCCACACAUCUAUUUUAAAAAAUUUAGAUGUGUUGCAUCUGCCAGGGUUCUUUGGAGGGGAGGAUCUGCAAGAUGCCGCUCUAGGGGCAACGUGUCUCAAGCCUCUUCUCCUGGCUGCUAACACCACGGGUCGCAUGGGAAACACUAAUCCAGACCAACUGGGUCCUGUAAUGGGAGAAACUGAGGCCCAGCAAGAGGAAAUUCUCAGCCACAGUCUGUCCUCAUCUAGAGCUUGAGUCUCCUGUUGAGCUCACAGAGGGUCAAUGU
This is a long non-coding RNA of Bos taurus (domestic cattle), 1019 nucleotides long. The record is from Ensembl. NCBI's taxonomy places the organism in Eukaryota, Metazoa, Chordata, Mammalia, Artiodactyla, Bovidae.